GGAGACUUGGCAGAGCACGGCUUAUUGCAUCGGUCUUGAAAACCGGCGGGGGAUAACCUCCCUCCCUGGGUUCGAAUCCCAGAGUCUCCGCCA
This 93-nucleotide transfer RNA is filed under the name Planctomycetia bacterium. RNAcentral's name for it is "tRNA-Ser". It matches the Rfam family "tRNA". From Rfam's summary of the family: Transfer RNA (tRNA) molecules are approximately 80 nucleotides in length. Their secondary structure includes four short double-helical elements and three loops (D, anti-codon, and T loops). The record is from RNAcentral. Lineage: Bacteria; Pseudomonadati; Planctomycetota; Planctomycetia.